RNAcentral lists this ribosomal RNA (497 nucleotides) under uncultured bacterium. RNAcentral describes it as "partial 16S ribosomal RNA". It matches the Rfam family "Bacterial small subunit ribosomal RNA", at positions 28 to 507 of the family's 1533-position model. The record is from RNAcentral.
GAUGAACGCUGGCGGCGUGCCUAAUACAUGCAAGUCGAGCGAACGGACGAGAAGCUUGCUUCUCUGUUGUUAGCGGCGGACGGGUGAGAAACACGUGGAUAACCUACCUAUAAGACUGGGAUAAUUUCGGGAAACCGGAGCUAAUACCGGAUAAUAUUUUGAACCGUAUGGUUCAAAGGAGAAAGACGGUCUUGCUGUCACUUAUAGAUGGUUCCGCGCUGCAUUAGCUGGUUGGUAAGGUAACGGCUUACCAAGGCAACGAUGCAUAGCCGACCUGAGAGGGUGAUAGGCCACACGGGAGCGGGAACACGGUCCAGACUCCUACGGGAGGCAGCAGUAGGGAAUCUUCCGCAGUGGGCGAGAGCCUGACGGAGCAAGGCCGCGUGAGUGAUGAAGGUCUUCGGAUCGUAAAGCUCUGUUAUUAGGGAAGAACAUAUGUGUAAGUAACUGUGGACAGCGUGACGGUACCUAAUCAGAAAGCCACGGCUAACUACGUG